Gasterosteus aculeatus aculeatus (three-spined stickleback) is the source of this 2343-nucleotide long non-coding RNA. Lineage: Eukaryota; Metazoa; Chordata; Actinopteri; Perciformes; Gasterosteidae. The record is from Ensembl.
UUAAAAUGUUCUAACAAUGUCAUGACAUUUAGCCAGGACGUUUUCCACACCACUGACUGACACAGUGGUGGUCAGACUGUGCGCCGCACAGGGAAGAUGUUGAGCUGGAAGUGGCCUAGCAGCUACAAAAAUGUUCCGGUCACUAUCAGCCCUAAACUCUGCUGUAUGUCACGGCUGUUCAUUUUACUUUCAAUGCAAAAAUCUCUCUCUCGUCUUUAACUACCAUCUCGGUCUCUCCGAUCUAACUGACUGCAGCACACAGCGGUUUUGUGUCAGGGGUCAACAGCGUUAACGGUGUUUCCACUCUCCUGAUGACCCUCUGCCACGCCCACCUGCAGGGACACCAGAGAGGGUCGUCAAUACACAAAAUAAUCUCAUAGAUUAACGUGUUAACUUUGACAUCCCCACAAGGGUAUUACCCUUUACAAUCUUCCUCAUAAACUAAGGACAGUUUUAAAAAAAAGGUGUUGUUGCCAUCACAUUCUGUCAGGUUUUUCUUGUUGUUCCUUUUGAAUUUUUUCUGAAGAAGCGGUUAUAUGUUCCAGCCUCCCUACUGGCCAAUUCAGUUCUGUUUGUUUGACUUGAAUUGUUAUCCCUCUAGACGAGGAAAGGGCCCUUGCGGCCUUCGGGCAUUGGAACUGUCACACGUUUAGGGCUGCAUGUCAUUACAGCAAGCCACCUUCAUUGGACUACUUAAGUGAGGUCCUAUAAGAUGGAAGUCCUUUUCUGCCACCGACUUGACUCUUUUUCUACCUUUAGUCAUGCUGUUGUUGUUGGCAAUCUUUUACAUGGUCGACUGAUUUAUAUAUCGCUCUAUAUAGUGAUUGUGUGCACAUAAUCCCAUUCUCAGCACCAAGAUGGUGUUUCAUUAUUCCUUUAAAGUUUUAGAAUGUGGUUUGUCUCCAAUCUUUAAGAAUAGUUUCUCCUUCAGGGAUAUAUCUGUCUGCUGCCAUUCAAGAUCUCCCCUGUGGCAGGACGCACCACUCCCUCCUCCACUGUUUGUCAUUAAUGCGUUCAUUCUAUCGCUCUUCAGAGUGGCACAUCUUUCUCAAGGGAACCAUCUUUGAAUAAGCAAUGUUUACUGAUGUUGCGGCGAUAAACAGAAGGCUAACCUUCUGUUAAACUCCAGCAGUGGUACUCUGAUAAAACUGGCGGACAAAGCCUGAUAGGAAAGCACUGGAGGUGCCACAUGCACAACAUUUUCAAACCUUUGCUCUUAGGAGAUUGCAGGAUUCAGUGUACUGUGCAUGGAAAAAACUAAUUUCCACUGCUUGCUUCUCUACAUGUUUCCCAGAUGAGAAAGCUGUGGUUUCGUUUCUCCACAGUGGAUGAAAUCAAUAUGGAAUUUCUAUAUCUAUUUGGGACGCGUCGCUAUGUGGAAAUAUAAACGAUUAGUAACCGCAUCAAAUCUAAAUAUUUGUUCAGUCUAAAUCCAGUAAGUAUGUAUUUAUUUUCUACUGCAACCCCAAAACAGAGGAGACAACGUGGUUCUCUUGUCCAAAUCAGUUUAAAUUAAAAAAAAUUCAGUUCAAACAGCAACUUCCUGUUUCCAAGAGGUAGAAGAAGUACAUCAAUCUGUAGGUAUUUUCAGGGAAGGACUGUUAUGAAGCAUUAAAAGAACUUGAGCUAAUUAGACGAGAUACCUCCAAGUUCCAUAAACAGCUAUUACUCUAAUUACCUUUAAUGUUUCAAGAUUGUACUGACCAAAUUUGAUUUCAUCAAGAUUUUCUUUUACAGUACAGAACCUGGAAGAGGCGAAAGCUGUCUUCUAUUGCAGAUUCGAAAUAUGGCUGACUUCCUUUUGGGUUUAAGAUAUACUUUCAGCAGGCUUUCAUUGUAGUUUUUAGGGUAUAAAAAUCCUUUAUGGAUGACGUAUAAUCUUUAGUUUGAUAGAAGUGAGUGCUUUAGCCUUGGUAAAGCUUUCCUCUUUAUUCGUAGUGUGGGUCCAUUCCUCCAUACGUGAGUGUUGCCACGACCUUGCUACUACUGUUCAUUUGUCUGUGUUAGGUGCCUGUGUGUUUUGCGUGUACGUUACAUGUGUGAAUCCUCAGGUUCACUGCAUGGGCCGGCAUUUACAAGGCUCUUUUACCUGCAUACAAUGAGCUAACACUUUAUUAGUACCUCUACCUGCAAAAAUGUACACUGUACACAGUCAAUGUGUUCACUCCAUCAAUUAAAUUGGUCAAUGCUCCUGCUCCAUGGCAACCAGUAGAAUAAAAACUGUAGUCAAAUAAGGCGCAGUUGAGUGUAAAUACAUACCUUUGACAUUUGAGCCCUUCCCAGCAUGCCUGAUUGAUGGGAAAAAAGCCUUUCCCCGGAUACAGAAGAAAAGCUUUGUAGAGU